Molecule: ribosomal RNA, 444 nt
Filed under: uncultured bacterium
Lineage: Bacteria
Description: bacterial SSU rRNA
Rfam family: Bacterial small subunit ribosomal RNA
Source: RNAcentral
UGAGGAAUUUUGGACAAUGGGGGCAACCCUGAUCCAGCGACGCCGCGUGGAGGAUGAAGGUCUUCGGAUUGUAAACUCCUUUUGCAGGGGACGAAUGAGCUCCGUAACCCGGAGAAGUGACGGUACCCUGUGAAUAAGCCACGGCUAACUUCGUGCCAGCAGCCGCGGUAAGACGAAGGUGGCUAGCGUUACUCGGAAUUACUAGGCGUAAAGGGCAGGUAGGCGGUUCGGUAAGUCUAUUGUGAAAUCUUCCGGCUUAACUGGAAGGGGUCAAUAGAUACUGCCGGGCUUGAGUGUGUGAGAGGGUGCUGGAAUUCCCGGUGUAGCGGUGAAAUGCGUAGAGAUCGGGAGGAACACCUAUGGCGAAAGCAGGCACCUGGCACAUUACUGACGCUGAGCUGCGAAAGCUAGGGGAGCAAACAGGAUUAGAUACCCCCGUAGUCC